RNAcentral lists this unclassified non-coding RNA (257 nucleotides) under Hevea brasiliensis (rubber tree). The record is from RNAcentral. Lineage: Eukaryota; Viridiplantae; Streptophyta; Magnoliopsida; Malpighiales; Euphorbiaceae.
AUACUGAGUCACUGCAGCAGGGUCGUCGGGAUCAAUGGUUAUCUUUUCCUUCCGAAGUAUCCCAAGGGCAGUCUCGAAUUUGUUCUUCACGUCAUAGAAGAUGUUCUUCAACAUCUCAUCUCCCUUGAGAGCAGCAGCUUCUUUCGCAAAGGACCGCACAUGCACAGCAUGAUCUCGCUGAAGAAUAGCUCCACCAGCAUACAACUGUUUGGAUCGGGAGAGGAGGCGGGAAGCCAUGGCCAUGGCGGGCGAGCUUG